GGCUCAGGAUGAACGCUGGCGGCGUGCUUAACACAUGCAAGUCGAACGAUGAAGCCCAGCUUGCUGGGUGGAUUAGUGGCGAACGGGUGAGUAACACGUGAGUAACCUGCCCUUAACUCUGGGAUAAGCCUGGGAAACUGGGUCUAAUACCGGAUAGGAGCGUCCACCGCAUGGUGGGUGUUGGAAAGAUUUAUCGGUUUUGGAUGGACUCGCGGCCUAUCAGCUUGUUGGUGAGGUAAUGGCUCACCAAGGCGACGACGGGUAGCCGGCCUGAGAGGGUGACCGGCCACACUGGGACUGAGACACGGCCCAGACUCCUACGGGAGGCAGCAGGGGGAAUAUUGCACAAUGGGCGAAAGCCUGAUGCAGCGACGCCGCGUGAGGGAUGACGGCCUUCGGGUUGUAAACCUCUUUCAGUAGGGAAGAAGCGAAAGUGACGGUACCUGCAGAAGAAGCACCGGCUAACUACGUGCCAGCAGCCGCGGUAAUACGUAGGGUGCGAGCGUUAUCCGGAAUUAUUGGGCGUAAAGAGCUCGUAGGCGGUUUGUCGCGUCUGUCGUGAAAGUCCGGGGCUUAACCCCGGAUCUGCGGUGGGUACGGGCAGACUAGAGUGCAGUAGGGGAGACUGGAAUUCCUGGUGUAGCGGUGGAAUGCGCAGAUAUCAGGAGGAACACCGAUGGCGAAGGCAGGUCUCUGGGCUGUAACUGACGCUGAGGAGCGAAAGCAUGGGGAGCGAACAGGAUUAGAACCCCUGGUAGUCCAUGCCGUAAACGUUGGGCACUAGGUGUGGGGACCAUUCCACGGUUUCCGCGCCGCAGCUAACGCAUUAAGUGCCCCGCCUGGGGAGUACGGCCGCAAGGCUAAAACUCAAAGGAAUUGACGGGGGCCCGCACAAGCGGCGGAGCAUGCGGAUUAAUUCGAUGCAACGCGAAGAACCUUACCAAGGCUUGACAUGUUCCCGAUCGCCGUAGAGAUACGAUUUCCCCUUUGGGGCGGGUUCACAGGGUGGUGCAUGGUUUGUCGUUCAGCUCGUGUCGUGAGAUGUUGGGUUAAGUCCCGCAACGAGCGCAACCCUCGUUUCCAUGUUGCCAGCACGUAAUGGUGGGGACUCAUGGGAGACUGCCGGGGUCAACUCGGAGGAGGUGAGGACGACGUCAAAUCAUCAAUGCCCCUUAUGUCUUGGGCUUCACGCAUGCUACAAUGCCGGUACAAUGGGUUGCGAUACUGUGAGGUGGAGCUAAUCCCAAAAAGCCGGUCUCAGUCGGAUUGGGGUCUGCAACUCGACCCCAUGAAGUCGGAGUCGCUAGUAAUCGCAGAUCAGCAACGCUGCGGUGAAUACGUUCCCGGGCCUUGUACACACCGCCCGUCA
This 1369-nucleotide ribosomal RNA is filed under the name Micrococcus luteus. RNAcentral's name for it is "16S ribosomal RNA". It matches the Rfam family "Bacterial small subunit ribosomal RNA", at positions 21 to 1399 of the family's 1533-position model. The record is from RNAcentral. Lineage: Bacteria; Bacillati; Actinomycetota; Actinomycetes; Micrococcales; Micrococcaceae.